RNAcentral lists this unclassified non-coding RNA (207 nucleotides) under Lepista glaucocana. RNAcentral's name for it is "partial internal transcribed spacer 2". Lineage: Eukaryota; Fungi; Basidiomycota; Agaricomycetes; Agaricales; Clitocybaceae. The record is from RNAcentral.
AAUUCUCAACCUUUUCAGCUUUUACAAGUUGGAUUGGCUUGGAUGUGGAGGUUUUGCAGGCUUCUUAAGAAGUCAGCUCCUCUUAAAUACAUUAGCGGAACCUUUGUGGACCAGCUUUGGUGUGAUAAUUAUCUACGCCAUGGUUGUAAAGCAGCUUUAUAUGGGGUUCAGCUUCUAACAGUCCAUUUACUUGGACAAUUUCUGACA